CACCACUCAAGCUAUGCUUGGUGUUGGGUGUUUGUCUCGCCUCUGCGUGUAGACUCGCCUCAAAACAAUUGGCAGCCGGCGUAUUGAUUUCGGAGCGCAGUACAUCUCGCGCUUUGCACUCAUAACGACGACGAUCCAAAAGUACAUUUUUACAC
Molecule: unclassified non-coding RNA, 155 nt
Filed under: uncultured Dothideomycetes
Lineage: Eukaryota; Fungi; Ascomycota; Dothideomycetes
Description: sequence contains ITS2
Source: RNAcentral